Eriocheir sinensis (Chinese mitten crab) is the source of this 4412-nucleotide long non-coding RNA. RefSeq lists it as uncharacterized. NCBI's taxonomy places the organism in Eukaryota, Metazoa, Arthropoda, Malacostraca, Decapoda, Varunidae. The record is from RefSeq and is a predicted model, not a curated record. The transcript has 3 exons.
AUACAUAUCUACCGUCACGCCAAGACACUAUGAAAACCUUGAAAAAACUAAAAUCAUGAAGCCUUGCGGAAGAGUAAGAAACAAUAAGAAUUCCUCCCUGGUGUCUGCUGUUGGCUGCACCUGUGGCCAAGGCCAAGCACUCCAGACAGUUCUGGUGAUCAUGAAAUAACCUAAAAUUCACAACUCAUGUGAAAGACAAAAACAGGCUGUUGAAGAAUGUUUAUUAAACAGUUCAGUUUUGGCAAAUAUAUUACUACAAACACCAUGACCGCUGAACAUGGCAGACCAUUAACGUGUGCCAGGACAAGCAGCCACACAAUGCUGUAUGACUUCACUUAUUGGCAAACAGUGGACCUGCUGGCCACUGCUACUGCUGGUGCCUCUGCUGUGUGGGGCAUACCGAGGCACCCCAAGGCUGGGACACAAGAGUCAGGAGGCCACUUUGUUAUAAAGAAAUAAAUCCUGUCUAUCUAGAGGGAAGAGUACCAAGCUGUGCCAAUAUUCCAGUCUGGCUUAUUUUUCAGACAAGGGAAGCAUUACUCACAUUGUAGCUCAUAUUUGCAUAUUUUUUUGUUAUUUGCACAAAUAUAUCUUAUCUAACAAAUGGUCAUUUAUCUGUCAUCUACACUUACUUGUGGUCAAUGAUGUUACCUUUUAAAAGUAUCAACUAGAAUCAUCUCAUCUAAGAUAUUUCCUCUAACAGCUUAAGUGACCAGCACAUAUCUUUAUUGUUCCUUAAAUAAACUUUAAUCUUUUAUAUGUGAGAAUCUCACUGAUGAUAAGAUAGAGUUGGGAACACACGCUGCAGCUGUGUGUGGCCUCCGUGCAUCUUUGUUCCACUGGCACUUGAGUCUGUGGUGGGCGAGAACCCAUUACCCCGGGACACAGGGGAAGUGCAACAUCCAGGUUACCAGCAAGAAUACUGGCACUACUCAGUACUUUCCACCUUCAACAUAGAAUAUAUUAGGAAAAAGCUAAAAUGAAGAGGAAAAAAAUCCUUGCAGCGGAGGAGUGAGUAGAUCACAAUUACACUGAGUGGCCUUAUUGUCACCGGACUAAAUUCCUUACAAAUUUAAGAAGCAGCCAAAACCCUCAACAGCAUGGAAGCCUGUCCACAACUGGCCUGUGCUGCAGCCAUCAGUGAAUCUUUGUUUGGCAUGAAGCCCUCAAGAAUCCCCCAGACUAUGCAUGACCCUAAAGGUACCACCCCACACCCUAUGUGCCUCCAAAGGCACCAUGGAGGCCCUACAUGGUUCUACAGGAACUCUGAAGGCCUGCCACUGGCUCAGCAGACCUUAACAUGGCAUACCCUUGUGAGUGUUGUGUUGGCUGGCGGAGGUUCAGUCACCGUCAACAUCCCUCCUCUAAACCACAACUGACUACUGACCAAAGUGAGCGAGCUUUUUUGUACCUGAUUCUUAUCAAUAAAUGUUACCAUCUACUGAUCACUACACUUGGUAAUACACCUAAGAACUACACUGGUACACAUAAAAGACAACUAUUAAAAAAAAGAAAAAAAAAAAAGUAAAGAGUAUGAAAGCAGCAAAAUGCUAACCCUAACACAACCUUGCCAGUCAUCUUCACACAGGCUCUGGCAUGGGGGCUUGAUGAGUGGAGGAGGGAUGUUAAUAUUCCCUCAUCAUGUGUCCCUCUCUUCUCUUUCCACUAUUGUCUAAUCUGACAUGAAUAAUCUUAGCCAAUGCAUCCCCAUGGAAACCAAGUAUCAAAAGACACAAUAACAACUCCAGUAUUAUGAUUCCUGAAGAUACAGUGAAGUUUAACAUCUACAAUUUUUCUUUAUGGCAUUUGUUAUAACUUGGCACUGAGAACAAUCAAAACUUAAGCUUGUUCUAUUAAGUCAGUCAUUAUGCAAGAAACCAAAAAAGCCAAGGGACUGACACAUAUUGAUAACUGCCCUUGUUAUAGUAGGAUAUCAAUGUAUUAUUAUUAUUUAGACCCCCGACAAGCCCGUUACACCCUGCAGUGAUUGUACAACAGCCACACAAAUCCACAGUAUCAAUGCAGAACCCAUUAGCUACUUUGCUUCACUACUGGUGGUGCAACAUUGCCUCAGUGGCCAUUCCUUUUUUACGAUUUUGGACACUUCCCAAAACAAUAUUAAGUGUAACAGUAAAGAGUGCAACAGCUUGCCAGGAGCCCUCAUGAUAUCACAGCACUCCUGGGAGAAGACAGUUAAUUUAUUUUCUUUGCCACUCUCAUUGAAAUCACUUUUAAAAGGCAACACUCUCUAAACACUCUUUGAACUAUUUCCCAAACUCAGUCCAACACAGUUGUCAAUUGAGCACAAUUCCUUCCUUAAGUUCUGCACAAAAACACACAAUAUAUACAAAUAACAGAGACAGUCAAGAACACAAUUAAAAGCUUCUUUGCAGGCUUGCUGAAGUUAGUAGCAUUUACAUCGUGUUACAGCAACUAAAUGAACAAAAAACUGUUAAGUCAGACAAGGCACAGGUUUACUUACAUCUAUGUUAUGUUAAUCCCUAGGGUGAGGAAACCAUUGUUAGCUUGAGAAAAUUAAGAACAUUAUUACCUUGUGGAAGCAUAAAUAUUUGAAAUACUGUCAUUAAAGUCAUAACUUCCGCUAUCCUCAAAACUCUCAAUUUAUUACAGUGUGACUACUGAGAAAGUGAUUGCCAAAGCCCUGCCUCAUUUACCUGUCAAACUUUACCGCACGCCAACAAGACCACUUGUGAGUCCACAAAGCCCUUUGUAAUUGAUCUUCAUGCAUGGUACAACACAGGCUGGAGCUUACAAAGUUUUAUCAGUAAUUGCACUUUAAGAGAGUUCAGGCAAGGUAUGUUUGCCAUUUUGUAUGCAUUACUCCAAUUAAUACUCAUAUAAGGAACAAAGCUGCUCUGGAAAAUGAAUGUAAGUAUAAAAAUGCUCUACUGUCAAAUCUAAAAAAAAUUAAAAUCUUUGUUUUGACAAUUCUUUUAUUUUAUUCCUAAGCUCAAGUUCCUUUCUAUGCCUCAGUUCAUUUUUCCAACUUGGUCAUUUUCCUGAUAUGAGCACUAAUUGAACUGCUGCGUACAGAUUGGUGAACACACUCCAACCCAGGCAUGCAUCACGUUAGUGGCUGAACACACUCACUACACACUUCAUCCCGUCAGAUGUUCUGAAAUCAACAAUGAAGGUUACCACACACAUACGGAUGGCUGUGUAGCAGCUACAAGAUCUAUCUUAGAACAGCUGCAAAACAUACUUUAGACCCAGAGGUAAUAUCAGAAACCAGAUAGCAGAAAAAAUACUGAUGAUGAAGACUAGAAACCAUAGCUGCAAGGAGUAGGAGGGAGAGGCGAGACACAAGAAUAGAAGCAGGAGAAGGAGGAAGAGGAGGGGGAAAGGGGACAGAGGUAAAUGAAGAGGAGGUGAAGGAAAAAUAAAAGAAGGAAGAGAGUAAUGAAGGUUGGGUGACAAACAAAGCUCAAUAGAAGCAGGAGAAGGAGGAAGAGGAGGGGGAAAGGGGACAGAGGUAAAUGAAGAGGAGGUGAAGGAAAAAUAAAAGAAGGAAGAGAGUAAUGAAGGUCGGGUGACAAACAAAGGUCAAUAGAAGCAGGAGAAGGAGGAAGAGGAGGGGGAAAGGGGACAGGUAAAUGAAGAGGAGGUGAAGGAAAAAUAAAAGAAGGAAGAGAGUAAUGAAGGUCGGGUGACAAACAAAGCUCAAUAGAAGCAGGAGAAGGAGGAAGAGGAGGGGGAAAGGGGAUAGAGGUAAAUGAAGAGGAGGUGAAGGAAAAAUAAAAGAAAGAAGAGUAAUGAAGGUUGGGUGACAAACAAAGCUCAAUAGAAGCAGGAGAAGGAGGAAGAGGAGGGGGAAAGGGGACAGAGGUAAAUGAAGAGGAGGUGAAGGAAAAAUAAAAGAAAGAAGAGAGUAAUGAAGGUCGGGUGACAAACAAAGCUCAAUAGAAGCAGGAGAAGGAGGAAGAGGAGGGGGAAAGGGGACAGGUAAAUGAAGAGGAGGUGAAGGAAAAAUAAAAGAAAGAAGAGUAAUGAAGGUUGGGUGACAAACAAAGCUCAAUAGAAGCAGGAGAAGGAGGAAGAGGAGGGGGAAAGGGGACAGGUAAAUGAAGAGGAGGUGAAGGAAAAAUAAAAGAAAGAAGAGAGUAAUGAAGGUCGGGUGACAAACAAAGCUCAAUAGAAGCAGGAGAAGGAGGAAGAGGAGGGGGAAAGGGGACAGGUAAAUGAAGAGGAGGUGAAGGAAAAAUAAAAGAAGGAAGAGAGUAAUGAAGGUCGGGUGACAAACAAAGCUCAUGAAAAAUGCAAACGUCUAAUAUGGAUAAUACAACACAUAAUAGUUUCACAUUUCACCCACUUCCCUGUGGACACAUCAGAUCUCUGAGCGCCGUCACACCCUCAGUGCUGAACGGACAUUUAAAGCCACAGCAAAAGAAAAA